This 87-nucleotide transfer RNA is filed under the name Imperialibacter sp. EC-SDR9. Its description in RNAcentral is "tRNA-Leu". It matches the Rfam family "tRNA". From Rfam's summary of the family: Transfer RNA (tRNA) molecules are approximately 80 nucleotides in length. Their secondary structure includes four short double-helical elements and three loops (D, anti-codon, and T loops). Further hydrogen bonds mediate the characteristic L-shaped molecular structure. tRNAs have two regions of fundamental functional importance: the anti-codon, which is responsible for specific mRNA codon recognition, and the 3' end, to which the tRNAs corresponding amino acid is attached (by aminoacyl-tRNA synthetases). tRNAs cope with the degeneracy of the genetic code in two manners: having more than one tRNA (with a specific anti-codon) for a particular amino acid; and 'wobble' base-pairing, i.e. permitting non-standard base-pairing at the 3rd anti-codon position. RNAcentral also lists the same sequence under 2 other names. Lineage: Bacteria; Pseudomonadati; Bacteroidota; Cytophagia; Cytophagales; Flammeovirgaceae. The record is from RNAcentral.
GCCUGGGUGGCGAAAUUGGUAGACGCAAAGGUCUCAAACACCUUCGGGGGCAACCCCAUGCCGGUUCGAGUCCGGCCCCAGGUACUA